UUGGAGGGCAAGUCUGGUGCCAGCAGCCGCGGUAAUUCCAGCUCCAAUAGCGUAUAUUAAAGUUGUUGCAGUUAAAAAGCUCGUAGUUGAAUUUCGGAAUCAGUAUGUCGGUCGUGCCUCCGGUAUGUACUGGCGUCACUGGUUUCUCCCUUCUGACGAACCAUCAUGCUAUUAAUUUAGUGUGGUGGGAAAUCAGGACUGUUACUUUGAAAAAAUUAGAGUGUUUAAAGCAGGCUCACGCUUGAAUACAUUAGCAUGGAAUAAUGAAAUAGGACGUUGAUCCUAUUUUGUUGGUUUCUAGGAUUGACGUAAUGAUUAAUAGGGAUAGUUGGGGGCAUUAGUAUUCAAUUGUCAGAGGUGAAAUUCUUGGAUUUAUUGAAGACUAACUACUGCGAAAGCAUUUGCCUGGGAUGUUUUCAUUAAUCAAGAACGAAAGUUAGGGGAUCGAAGACGAUCAGAUACCGUCGUAGUCUUAACCAUAAACUAUGCCGACUAGAAUCGAUGAUGUAUAA
Molecule: ribosomal RNA, 512 nt
Filed under: uncultured Glomus
Lineage: Eukaryota; Fungi; Glomeromycota; Glomeromycetes; Glomerales; Glomeraceae
Description: SSU rRNA
Rfam family: Eukaryotic small subunit ribosomal RNA
Source: RNAcentral